UCAAUGUAAUAAAGGUGUCAACAUAGUGUCAACAUUUUUUGCAAAUUGAAUGUGGGAUAACACAAUUGCUUAUCAGCGUCCUUAUGCUUGACUAAGUUUACAAUGCCGCAUUGUUGUGCAUUUGGAUGUUCGAAGAAAGGUGCGGUGCUGCACGUUUUUCCAAAUCCAAACAAACACCCUGAUCGAUUUAAAGUUUGGGUUCAGCUUAUUGGGGGCAAGUUGGGCACCCCAUCAGAUUAUGAAUUUUAUAAAAAAAAGAGGAUUUGCGAUCUUCAUUUUACCGAAGAACAUAGGAAUCGCUUUAAGCGAUUAAAUGCUAUAGCAGUACCGACCCUAUGUCUACUUGAUGACUCUACCAGCGCGAGCUACGCGCUACGAGCAUAGCCGACAACAUGAGAAUCCACCACAACAUCCACCUUUCAAGAUGUUGCUCCUGUAACUGACAUUCAGCCCACCUUUCAUUCUGCUGCUUCCGCGCCAGGCACAUCAUGCGCCCAACAUAAGUACUUCUCUUGGGAUUCACAAUCAACCUACCUUUCAUUUCGCUACUUCUGCCCCAGGGUGGCCCCAGGCACCAGGCACUGCCAGCGCCCAACAUUUGCUCCUAGAAUUGACUAUCAGCACAUCUUUCAUUCUGCUGCUUCUAUGCCAGUUACGCCCGCUAUACAACAGUCUGAGGUGCCUACCAUCAUCAACAACAUAUGUACUGCAGAUUCUUCUGUAUUUGCAGAACAUAAUUAUAGUGUGAUGAGUCGUUCGAAAAGAAAGACAUUAGAUGA
Cydia strobilella is the source of this 779-nucleotide long non-coding RNA. RefSeq lists it as uncharacterized. The record is from RefSeq and is a predicted model, not a curated record. Lineage: Eukaryota; Metazoa; Arthropoda; Insecta; Lepidoptera; Tortricidae. The transcript is spliced from 6 exons.